CAUAGCGGAGGAAAAGAAACCAACAGGGAUUGCCUCAGUAACGGCGAGUGAAGCGGCAACAGCUCAAAUUUGAAAUCUGGCUCCUUCGGGGCCCGAGUUGUAAUUUGCAGAGGAUGCGUCGGGUACGGGUGCCUUCCGAGUUCCCUGGAACGGGACGCCAUAGAGGGUGAGAGCCCCGUCUGGUAGGAUACCCAGCCCGUGUGACGCUCCCUCGACGAGUCGAGUAGUUUGGGAAUGCUGCUCUAACGGGAGGUAUACUCCUUCCAAGGCUAAAUACCGGCUGGAGACCGAUAGCGCACAAGUAGAGUGAUCGAAAGAUGAAAAGCACUUUGAAAAGAGAGUCAAACAGCACGUGAAAUUGUUAAAAGGGAAGCGCUCGCUACCAGACUUGGGUUCGGCGGUUCAACCGGGGCCACGCCCCGGGGCAUUCCGCCGGCCCAGGCCAGCAUCAGCUUUCCGUCGGGGGUAAAGGCGUCGGGAAUGUGGCUCCCCUUCGGGGGAGUGUUAUAGCCCGUCGUGUCAUACCCUUCGGGGGGCUGAGGUACGCGCUUCUGCAAGGAUGCUGGCGUAAUGGUAGCUAGUGACCCGUCUUGAAACACGGACCAAGGAGUCAACCUUAUGUGCGAGUGCCCGGGCGUAAAACCCCAGCGCGGAAUGAAAGUGAACGUAGGUGAGAGCUUCGGCGCAUCACCGACCGAUCCUGAUGUCCUCGGACGGAUUUGAGUGAGAGCAUAUAGGGUUGGACCCGAAAGAAGAUGAACUAUGCGUGUGUAGGGUGAAGCCAGAGGAAACUCUGGUGGAGGCUCGCAGCGGUUCUGACGUGCAAAUCGAUCGUCAAACAUGCGCAUGGGGGCGAAAGACUAAUCGAAUCUUCUGGUAGCUGGUUCC
Molecule: ribosomal RNA, 888 nt
Filed under: Plectosphaerella cucumerina
Lineage: Eukaryota; Fungi; Ascomycota; Sordariomycetes; Glomerellales; Plectosphaerellaceae
Description: eukaryotic LSU rRNA
Rfam family: Eukaryotic large subunit ribosomal RNA
Source: RNAcentral